Molecule: ribosomal RNA, 833 nt
Filed under: Bifidobacterium longum subsp. infantis
Lineage: Bacteria; Bacillati; Actinomycetota; Actinomycetes; Bifidobacteriales; Bifidobacteriaceae
Description: bacterial SSU rRNA
Rfam family: Bacterial small subunit ribosomal RNA
Source: RNAcentral
GAUGUUCCAGUUGAUCGCAUGGUCUUCUGGGAAAGCUUUCGCGGUAUGGGAUGGGGUCGCGUCCUAUCAGCUUGACGGCGGGGUAACGGCCCACCGUGGCUUCGACGGGUAGCCGGCCUGAGAGGGCGACCGGCCACAUUGGGACUGAGAUACGGCCCAGACUCCUACGGGAGGCAGCAGUGGGGAAUAUUGCACAAUGGGCGCAAGCCUGAUGCAGCGACGCCGCGUGAGGGAUGGAGGCCUUCGGGUUGUAAACCUCUUUUAUCGGGGAGCAAGCGUGAGUGAGUUUACCCGUUGAAUAAGCACCGGCUAACUACGUGCCAGCAGCCGCGGUAAUACGUAGGGUGCAAGCGUUAUCCGGAAUUAUUGGGCGUAAAGGGCUCGUAGGCGGUUCGUCGCGUCCGGUGUGAAAGUCCAUCGCUUAACGGUGGAUCCGCGCCGGGUACGGGCGGGCUUGAGUGCGGUAGGGGAGACUGGAAUUCCCGGUGUAACGGUGGAAUGUGUAGAUAUCGGGAAGAACACCAAUGGCGAAGGCAGGUCUCUGGGCCGUUACUGACGCUGAGGAGCGAAAGCGUGGGGAGCGAACAGGAUUAGAUACCCUGGUAGUCCACGCCGUAAACGGUGGAUGCUGGAUGUGGGGCCCGUUCCACGGGUUCCGUGUCGGAGCUAACGCGUUAAGCAUCCCGCCUGGGGAGUACGGCCGCAAGGCUAAAACUCAAAGAAAUUGACGGGGGCCCGCACAAGCGGCGGAGCAUGCGGAUUAAUUCGAUGCAACGCGAAGAACCUUACCUGGGCUUGACAUGUUUCCCGACGAUCCCAGAGAUGGGGUUUCC